Molecule: ribosomal RNA, 400 nt
Filed under: uncultured bacterium
Lineage: Bacteria
Description: bacterial SSU rRNA
Rfam family: Bacterial small subunit ribosomal RNA
Source: RNAcentral
UAAGGAAUAUUGGUCAAUGGACGAAAGUCUGAACCAGCCAUGCCGCGUGAAGGAUGAAGGCCCUCUGGGUUGUAAACUUCUUUUAUCUGGGACGAAAAAAGGGAAUUCUUUCCCACUUGACGGUACCAGAGGAAUAAGCACCGGCUAACUCCGUGCCAGCAGCCGCGGUAAUACGGAGGGUGCAAGCGUUAUCCGGAUUCACUGGGUUUAAAGGGUGCGUAGGUGGGCUGAUAAGUCAGUGGUGAAAUCUCGGAGCUUAACUCUGAAACUGCCAUUGAUACUGUUGGUCUUGAAUAUCCUGGAGGUAUGCGGAAUAUGUCAUGUAGCGGUGAAAUGCUUAGAUAUGACAUAGAACAUCUAUUGCGAAGGCAGCAUACUACGAGAUUAUUGACACUGAGGC